GCGCAGCGGCUGCAGCUGAAGAAGCUGGCCGGAUGCCGAGCCAUGAAAUGCGUUCCUGUCUUUUUCUUUCUCCUCCUCUUCUGGCGUCCCGUCCAUCGNCGGACCGCCGUGGACCCCACCCGCGCUUUUUGCCCUGGAGGCCCUUCUUAAGACCUGAGAGCCUCUGAGAUGAAGGUUUCUUGGAUUCAGAUUCUCGGAAAGGUGAUUCGGUCGGAAGAAUUGAGAGCAAAACGCAAAGCCUCUGGGAUGUCUGUGCGCCUGUUUGCCGCACNGACGUGCUUCUCUCUAGUUCGCCAGCGGAAGCUUAAGCUGCUGUGGAACGCGAGAAAAGUCCGAAUUUUCUAGUGGAAACGCAUUGGUGUCUUCUGGCAGAUUGGGACAUGUCGGUAAAAGUGGAACGGAGGUCCUCACGGGAGGAUAGAAAAGAAAGGCGCAUUCUGAGACUGCUAGGGAAACUUUGUGUGGGCAGUUGCGUCUAGGACCCCUCGAAGGGGAGGCUGGUGAAUGCUUGCCAAGUUAGGAGCCAAAAUGGGUUCUUUCGGCCACCUGGCUUCUCUUCUUUUUCUGCACUUCCCGUCACACCAGAGCGCGCUCCAUCGUUUUAUGCAGCCCCAACAAGAAAUCUGCUUUGAAUAUCUUUAUCUCUAAUUCAAAUCGCUAAGGUACAUUUAGUAGCUACGUGGCAGCCCUGUUCACACUUUUCCCUUUUCUGGCAAGAAGACAGUGCUCAGACAGUUUGUCUGUUUCUGUAAGGUAUACACGUGAAUGCUUAUAACAACAUCCUAUCUGGGCUGGAAUAGCAAAUGAUCACUGUCAAUAGAGGGGAUUCUAGAAUUUUGAUGCAAUAGCAUCCCCCCCCCCCACAUCCCGAAACUUUUUAUAAUUGGAAUCUGAUGGGACCUAUUCUACACAGAUACAAGUGCCUAGAACUGCGGUGCCCAAUGGCCAUGUUUGGUAGGGCAGCACACGUCUCCGUCCAGCCUUCUCUUCCUUUCCGAAGUAGCUGGCGAUAGGAUUGCAACUUUAUUUAAAGCACCACGAAGUCCUCCACAAUGACUUUCCGUACUGGGACGAGAGAAACGAAAUGGGGCUUUCCUGCGAUUGCUAACACUUUCCCAUAAUUUUCUUCCGCGCUGCGCUUUGCCUGCGAAGGAGCUGAGAUCAAUGUGUAUUGAGGGCGAGAACUCCUUUCUCGUACCCGUCAAGGGCAACUUUCUGAAGAAAAAUAAGCUCUAGAAUCAGCUAUUCCCAUUCUUAAAAAGAAAACAAACUCCCAACUUCUUCAGUUGGAGCUAGAUCAUAUUCCCGAAUCUCCAACGGUGAAAGUUGAAAAUGCUCCCCUUGG
This 1345-nucleotide long non-coding RNA is filed under the name Salvator merianae (Argentine black and white tegu). Its description in RNAcentral is "lncRNA (ENSSMRG00000015514.1)". The record is from RNAcentral. Lineage: Eukaryota; Metazoa; Chordata; Lepidosauria; Squamata; Teiidae.